UGAAAUCUAUAUUUCCUUCUCCAAAAGCUUUGACACAUCAUUUUGUAUAUCUUCCUGCUUUUGCUAUCCUGUUUAAUUCGCUAGUUUGUAGGAUGCCGACACAAAAGUAUAAUGAACUACAUACUUGUGUAUAACACGAUUAAAUGUUUGCGCAAAAAGCUCCAGGUCAAGUUAGUUGUGUUCUUUACAGUUUGGCAAUUUUGCAAUGGAAAGUCCGUUUUUGUUUUACGUUUUUAUGAUCGGUCUUGUGUGUUCCUCUUAUGCCGAUGUAUGUUCCGGCGACCAGUGUCAAGGUGUAAUAUCCAUGCCAUUACUUGGUGACAUGAAAGCUACAUUGAAAGCAGACUUGGACAUCACUAAUAUGAACAAUCAUCUUCGAGCUUACAUUCAACAAGAAAUCCAGAAAGGUGUUGAAGUUGCAAUGAGAGCUGAAAUGAAGAAACUUGUGAAUGAAGGUCUAGACAAAAUCAGCAGUACAGUCGAAGCUACUGUGGACAAAAAAGUGACAACUGGUAUCUCAUACAUCCAAUGGGGAAAGAUAAAUUGCACCAAAGAUAAUGCAGAACUGAUUUAUUCCGAUCCAUUCACAGUGUCUAAACUACCCCGACAAAAAAUAUUUGGACUCAAUAGUAUCUAAUAUCCGGUACGGUGACGGACUAUCAACAAACAGAGAAAAGGUUUGGUUGGUGGAUCUUCAUAUACGGGUGGUGGCUCUCCAAAUAAGCUCUGUGUUCCGAGUGAACCACAGUGGGGUAUUUAUGAUGACAAAGUAAACAAAAGUCCUUUCAUCGGUGCUACUUUGUUCGAUAACUGGGACAUUAACAUCAAGAAUACACUUUUUGAUAAAAAAUACACGUAUUAUGUCAUUCAGUGUGCUGUUUGUCAUGUGACAAAAGCAACGUCCACGAUCAUGAUACCGGGAAGGCAAACAUGCUUUAAAAAUUGGAAAAUGGAAUACCGUGGUUACCUAAUGGCUGGUUAUCCUGAUCAUAAAGCUGCUUCGGAAUAUAUCUGUGUUGAUGGAAACCCUGAUCAUAUCACGAGAGUACCUAGCUGGACUGACAAAUCUAUAUUGUACUCCGUUUAUUCAAAAUGUAACGGAGCGACCCCUUGUCCACCCUACGUCAAUGGUAGGGAGAUGACAUGUGUAGUUUGUUCCAGAUGAACACGAUCAGAUCUGAUAUAUUUUUUUCUGUCAAUGAUUUACAAAAACAAAUAUUAAUUAUUAUUCCAACAUAUAAUCAACUCCUUCAGGAAUUAAAUUAUCCAAUGUAUUUUUCAGCAGGUGAAUUUUGCACAAAAGUACCAAGUAACCAUGAGUUCAAAACUUUAUCAAAGUCUGAGCACGAGUUUAAAAGUCAUGAAUUUUGUAUUGACAACUGGUGCGAAUCAGUUUACAUAUCCAGCAAAUAAACAUAUUCAUUGUCCAUGUUACUAAAGGGACUUCUAUACAUUUUCUGAUGUAAUAAAACAUAAAUAACUGGAUGUAGGCACAUAGAACAAAAAAGAAAAGUAACAAAAAAAGAAAUAAAACAGCAAAUGUUUUUAUUCCAAUGACACGUGUAUUUACUUUACCACUAGUAACUCUUAUCAAAAUAUGAAAAAUAACUACUUAAAUUUACAUUGAUCAUAAACAAUCAUGCAAAACAAGUGACGAUGAGAAACAACGAUUUUAGAUUUGAUAAAGAGAAGAACAAUCUAAUUGUCCAAUAGAGAGCAAACCGAAUUAAAAAAAUAUUAUCUUCCUUUUUUGUACAGCAAAAAGGAUUAACAAAAAUACCGAACUCAAGGUUAAUUCAAAAAGGCAUAAGUUCAUAAAAACUGGCAAAAUCAAACGUUAGACUACAUCAACUAACGGAACGAAUGGACAACAACUGUCAUAUUCCUGACUUGGUAAAGGUAUUUUCGGAGUCGUUUUUUACACACUGCAUUAUUUUAAUUAAAUUAAAAACAGUAUAAUAUAUUGUCCGUAAAAGUAUAGCGUGAUCCAAAAUAUUACUAGAACUAAGUUGCAUAAAAAAUGAAAACAACACGUUAUAAAGUCCAUGCGUCCGAAGCGCUGUUCUUGAUUUACCUUCGCCAGGAACGAUCAAAGCCGAAUACUUGAAAGCCAAGGAUGUAUAAGGGGACAAUCAUUUGAUUCUGAGGGGGGCCUGGCAGAUUUUGGAAAUAAAUAUUCUGGCCCCCAUGUAGGUGAAAAUAAAUAAUCUUGCCUUAUCACCCAUGAAAAUAAAUAUCCUGGUUCCAGAUAUUCAAAAUGUUCAAAAUAGAUUUGACUCGCUUCGCUCGCCACAAAGAAAAAGGUUCCCUUUAGUUAGAUAAUCAAAAAAAGUUAUGUCCGUGACUGUAGUAACGUUUUGGAUUUCAAUGAGCCUAAUCUAUGUAUUACUGGUCAAUUACUAAGUCAGGGGUUUCGUUACAUGUACCACAAAUUACUUAAAACCUUUACUAAAUUCAUUCUUCCAUAGACACAUGAUAGAUACAAAGAUUUGGAUUGCAAGUUUGGCUGUAUAUUGUAUCUGCAGAAAACUUCUUAAUUUUUACGUUGAUGUCUUUCACCGAGCACGGACAUUUAGAUACGAUUCGGGUAAACUCACCAAUCCUUAAAAUAAACUUAUUAUUAAAGGUUACCAAUUCAAGACUGUAAUUAGAACUUUGAAUAUUGUUUUAUUGGUACAUAAAUAUUGAAUUUGUUAUCAGUAAAUUAAAACCAAACUAAUAAAUAUCAUUGUUAUAUACAUUUGCACAUUCACGGUUCUACAAUCGGUCGAUACCUGUAAUUUGGCAUUGCACAAGGUCAUGUUUUCUCUGACUGUUAAUGACAUCUUUACAAUAAAUCCAUUGGAUGUAUA
Molecule: RNA transcript, 2852 nt
Organism: Mytilus californianus (California mussel)
Lineage: Eukaryota; Metazoa; Mollusca; Bivalvia; Mytilida; Mytilidae
Exons: 6
Source: RefSeq, a predicted model, not a curated record